AGGGGUCAGGUGAUCAACAUGAGAUACCUAGAAUAUUUUGAGAAAAUACUUCAUUUUAUUAAAGACAGAAUUCUUGUUUAUCAUGGAGCUAAUAAUCCUAAAGGAUUGCUAGAAGUUCGGGAAGCCCUGGAAAAGGUACACAAAGUAGAAGACCUUCUUCCGAUUAUGAAGUUUAAUACUAAAACGAAGGAUGGGUUCACCGUGAACACAAAAGUUCCCAGCCUUAAAGACCAAGGGAAGGAAUAUGAUGGAUUCACAAUCACGAUUACAGGAGACAAAGUUGGCAAUAUAUUAUUUUCUGUGGAAACUCAAACCACGGAAGAAAGGACACAAUUAUAUCAUGCUGAAAUAGAUGCACUUUAUAAAGAUUUGACAGCAAAAGGAAAAGUAUUGAUUCUUUCAUCAGAAUUUGGGGAGGCUGAUGCUGUCUGCAACUUAAUCUUAUCCUUAGUUUAUUACUUUUAUAAUUUAAUGCCACUCUCUCGAGGAUCCAGGUAAGUAAUAUCCUGUCAUUAAAAUUAUUUUAAAUUGAGAAAUGUGUUCUUUUUUGCUUAUCCUUCCUGUUAUGGAUAUAGGUACAGAGUAUA
RNAcentral lists this small RNA (587 nucleotides) under Pongo abelii (Sumatran orangutan). RNAcentral's name for it is "retained intron". The record is from RNAcentral. Lineage: Eukaryota; Metazoa; Chordata; Mammalia; Primates; Hominidae.